GUGCUCAUGCUAUCAGUAAAAAUCUAGUUAUCACAAACCAUCCAACCUUCUCAAGAGGAACAUCUAUUUUCCUGUGAACUUGAAAAUGUCAGUCAGGUGCCGUUUUAUAUUCAAGCAUCUGAGGAGUUUUAUUUUGUGGCAUCGUGACCAGGUCUUUUCCCUUUCUAUGACAAAAAUCCAUUGCCUAUCUGCUUGAAAUAUACUGA
Chiroxiphia lanceolata (lance-tailed manakin) is the source of this 206-nucleotide long non-coding RNA. RefSeq lists it as uncharacterized. The record is from RefSeq and is a predicted model, not a curated record. The transcript is spliced from 3 exons. NCBI's taxonomy places the organism in Eukaryota, Metazoa, Chordata, Aves, Passeriformes, Pipridae.